This 325-nucleotide ribosomal RNA is filed under the name uncultured eukaryote. RNAcentral's name for it is "partial 18S ribosomal RNA". It matches the Rfam family "Eukaryotic small subunit ribosomal RNA", at positions 1470 to 1796 of the family's 1831-position model. The record is from RNAcentral.
CCCUUAGAUGUUCUGGGCCGCACGCGCGCUACACUGAUGCAUUCAACGAGCCUAUCCUUGACCGACAGGUCCGGGUAAUCUUUGAAUCUGCAUCGUGACGGGGAUAGAUUAUUGCAAUUAUUAAUCUUCAACGAGGAAUGCCUAGUAGGCGCAAGUCAUCAGCUUGCGUCGAUUACGUCCCUGCCCUUUGUACACACCGCCCGUCGCUCCUACAGAUUGGGUGUGCUGGUGAAAUGUUCGGAUCGGCCGUUUGUCGCGGUUUCCGCGUCAUGUGGCUGAGAAGUUCAUUAAACCCUCCCACCUAGAGGAAGGAGAAGUCGUAACA